UACGUAGGGGGCAAGCGUUGUCCGGAAUCAUUGGGCGUAAAGCGCGUGUAGGCGGUUCGAUAAGUCUGCUGUGAAAGUCCAGGGCUCAACCCUGGAAUGCCGGUGGAAACUGUCGGGCUAGAGUCCGGAAGAGGCGAGUGGAAUUCCUGGUGUAGCGGUGAAAUGCGCAGAUAUCAGGAGGAACACCAAUGGCGAAGGCAGCUCGCUGGGACGGUACUGACGCUGAGACGCGAAAGCGUGGGGAGCAAACAGG
This 253-nucleotide ribosomal RNA is filed under the name uncultured bacterium. Its description in RNAcentral is "partial 16S ribosomal RNA". It matches the Rfam family "Bacterial small subunit ribosomal RNA", at positions 524 to 776 of the family's 1533-position model. The record is from RNAcentral.